RNAcentral lists this ribosomal RNA (218 nucleotides) under uncultured bacterium. RNAcentral's name for it is "partial 16S ribosomal RNA". It matches the Rfam family "Bacterial small subunit ribosomal RNA", at positions 524 to 736 of the family's 1533-position model. The record is from RNAcentral.
UACGUAGGGGGCAAGCGUUGUCCGGAAUCAUUGGGCGUAAAGCGCGUGUAGGCGGCCAGGUAAGUCCGUUCUGAAAGCCCGGGGCUACAACCCCCGGGAGGCGGAUGGAUACUGCUUGGCUCGAGUCCGGAAGAGGCGAGUGGAAUUCCCGGUGUAGCGGUGAAAUGCGACAGAGUAUCAGGAGGAACACCGAUGGCGAAGGCAGGAUCUCUGGGCCG